GAUAUAAAGAUUGCAGGGAGUGGGAAAGGCUUCUCCAGGGAAAACCCUGAGAUGUAGGGAGCUGUGAAAAGAGAUACUGCAGUGAACAGGAGGUUUCUGCUACAGACUCUGAUUGGAAGAAGAGUUUGUGGACCUAGAAGCCAGACAGAUGAAGAAGGCCAAGCUCCAGCCAGGCCACAGUUGCAGAGUUACUACAACUUGCUAUAACACUUCUGUGCUGUGGAACUCUUCUCUUCUGACUCAGCAACCACUGACUGGUGGUGGUGGGGACUGCUAUAACCUGGACUCCUGGAUGCUAUAGUGAGCUGUGGGGAUGCAUGACAGCUGCAGAGGCCUCAUCUCCAUUAAUAGAUUCUCCAAGAGCCACAGGAGAGGCUUCCUUGGGUGAAGGCACCAGGCGCCCCUUAUAGAUGAAUCCAAGAUCCAUACCCCUGAGAAGAGCAUGGAGAAGGCUGCAGCCAGGCCUCAGGGCAAGGAAUCGAAUGAUAUGUAAAUCAAAGGUUACAAGAAACUUUAUCCAUUCUAAAGAGAUUAAUCUUGCAUCAUCUCAAUAUGUUUUCUCUUCUACCCUUGUUGAGGACUUUAUUUGGAGUAAUUGUCACAUAUUUUAAAAGCUUGUCAUGCUUUGGAAGGAUUGACAGGGUGCAAUACUGCAAUUUGAGGACCCACGUCAACAUUAGUUGCAUUAGAGUUCACUUCACUGCUUCCAUCUAAAUUAUGUUGACUGGCUACCUAUAUUAUUCAGAGAAAGGAAAGCUAAGUGUACAGGAAUUGAAUGGUGUCCCUUUAAAUCAGUGGUUUCCAAACUGGGGUAUGAGCUCUCAUCAGCGGGUAUGUGAGAAAAAUCCUGUAAUGGUGGACAACACAUUUUAUUUAGUAAGACUUGGCAAUCUAAUCAUAGGUGUAUUAUGAUCCCAUCUCAGAUGGGGGUAUGCAGUAGAUGACAGUAUUUGGAAGGGGGUAAGCAGCCUAAAAAGUUUGAAAGCCUCUGCUUUAAAUAAUGAGAGCCUCCAGUAGUCCUCACUGUCUUCUGCAUUUUAGAAGUCACCAGAGCAACAAUGUGUUCAUGUAACUAGGCCUUGCAUGUUGUAUAUAGUUAGUAAACAUGGAUGUUAUGAGCACAAUUAGGUCCAGUCAUUUCUUCAUUUUAUGCAUGUUGUAUAACAGUGGCUUUCAACCUUUCCAGACUAUUGUACCCCCUUCAGGAGUCUGAUCUUUCUUGCAUA
Long non-coding RNA from Mauremys reevesii (Reeves's turtle), 1226 nucleotides. RefSeq lists it as uncharacterized. The transcript has 3 exons. Lineage: Eukaryota; Metazoa; Chordata; Testudines; Geoemydidae. The record is from RefSeq and is a predicted model, not a curated record.